This 253-nucleotide ribosomal RNA is filed under the name uncultured bacterium. RNAcentral's name for it is "partial 16S ribosomal RNA". It matches the Rfam family "Bacterial small subunit ribosomal RNA", at positions 524 to 776 of the family's 1533-position model. The record is from RNAcentral.
GACGUAGGGCGCGAGCGUUGUCCGGAUUUAUUGGGCGUAAAGAGCUCGUAGGCGGCUUGUCGCGUCGUCCGUGAAAACCAGGGGCUCAACCCCUGGCUUGCGGUCGAUACGGGCAGGCUAGAGUUCGGUAGGGGAGACUGGAAUUCCUGGUGUAGCGGUGAAAUGCGCAGAUAUCAGGAAGAACACCCGUGGCGAAGGCGGCUCUCUGGGACGGUACUGACGCUGAGACGCGAAAGCGUGGGGAGCGAACAGG